GGGUGUGAAGAGGAUCUUGCGGCAACAGCUGUCACCCCAUUGAUUGCCACUGCUGCUUUGGCUGGCUAGGAAGCCAGAUCCUUUCCUCCCUAACUACUCCAUGUGCAUCCCUCUUGAUGCUGAACACUCGGUGGAAGAGGAUGACUAUCUCAGAAGUGUAUGAUCUUGGGUGAAGGGUAUACAAUAGCUGUGCUCCCCUGCUAGAAAUUCCAAAUGAGCUCAAACUGGGAAGAGAAAAUUGAGAUCUUCACUAGUGAUCUCUUCUCAGGAUCUAGUUCUUGCACGCAAUAUAUGCUACUUUUC
RNAcentral lists this small nuclear RNA (303 nucleotides) under Ophiophagus hannah (king cobra). RNAcentral's name for it is "7SK RNA". It matches the Rfam family "7SK RNA". Rfam says of the family: 7SK was discovered as an abundant small nuclear RNA in the mid-70s but a possible function has only recently been suggested. Lineage: Eukaryota; Metazoa; Chordata; Lepidosauria; Squamata; Elapidae. The record is from Rfam by way of RNAcentral.